RNAcentral lists this microRNA precursor (102 nucleotides) under Marmota monax (woodchuck). Lineage: Eukaryota; Metazoa; Chordata; Mammalia; Rodentia; Sciuridae. The record is from RNAcentral.
AGUGAGAUAGCUGGGUCAAUUGGUGGUUCCAUUCUGAAUUUUCUGAGGAAUCUCCAAACUGCUUUCCAUAGUGGUUGCACCAAUUUGCAGUCCCCCAGCAAU